Molecule: long non-coding RNA, 2573 nt
Organism: Calliphora vicina (urban bluebottle blowfly)
Lineage: Eukaryota; Metazoa; Arthropoda; Insecta; Diptera; Calliphoridae
Exons: 2
Source: RefSeq, a predicted model, not a curated record
CCCGACUGGUGUCAGAUUGGAUCAAUUGAUUGUAAAGAUAACUUUAUAUACAAAUCGUACUGCAGUGAAUAUUUUGUUCGUAAUAUGCAAUGGCAAACGCAAGAUCAUUAGACGAAGUUAAGAAAUUGGUCAGAAAUGUCGAUCUCCUAAUUUACGCUCCACCUGCCUAUGGCAAAACAGCUUAUCAGACGAACCGGCGAAAGCAGUUUGAUCUGUCUGUAUUUGAUACAGACGAUCUGGACUGUCCUGAGAAUAGCAAUCUUGAGGUUUUAAUUACUAAUUAUCACCAAUUGAUUCCGACCCUUCAGAGCCAACUCGUGAUAGCAUUUGUUCCUUCCGAGGAGCAGUUUAAACGUGGUUGUGAAUUUAGGGGAUUAAAGUACCUACCAUCAUGGUACACCGACGUACUUGACUCUCUUAAACAGGCCGGAUCUGAUAAGAACAUUAUCCUUGUGAACUCUGGUGCUCCGAUACUAUUUUAAGAGCAUUGCACUCGUGUGCAAUGGCAAUUUGGGAAUGUGAAGAACUUCCACCAGUACCAUCUCCUCCUGAUUCACCUCAGAAGGUCGUCACACAUACGAAAACCCUAGUAUUAGUAGGCGAGGGGAUUUUGGAACCAAGAAUUGUUGAGGUUAUUGCUCCUAUUCAACCGGGCUCCCAGCUAAUGUAUCGCGAUGACGUACAGGAAUCUGAACUCGAUGACAUUUGUUUAGAGAUUCAGAAUAAUGAACAGCGACCGUCCUCUCCAGAUAAAGUCAGCUCGACAUCUACACCACCGGUGAAGAAGCUGUCACACACACACACACACACUAACAUAUUGAGGCGGAAUUUUAACAAGAAGAAGACAUUUCACAAAAAGACAAGUACAAUUAAUAAAUAAUAAUUUCUUCUAAUUUAAGAGCAAUUAUAAGACAAAGUAUAACAAAGGGACUACAUGGAGAAGAUCUACACAGCUAAAACAACAAAUGAAAAAAAUGUCAACAAAAACCAACUAUAACAAACGGACGAAAUUGGCCAAACAAAAAGUGAACACGGAAAUUAGGAAUAGAAAUGUUUGUCAAUAGUUCUACUGCUUUUUAUACCCUUCACCUUCGUGAGAAGGGUAUAUAUAAAUUUGUGAUUCCGUUUGUAAUUUCCACAAUAUAAUUUUCCGGCCCUAUAAAGUAUAUCUAUUCUGGAUCCUUAUAGAUAGCGGAGUCUUUUAAACCAUGUCCGUCUGUUGAAAUCAACUUUCCGAUGCCCCCAAAUAACUUACAUACUCGAUUCAUACAUCAAUAUCUCCGGAAUUCUUGCGGCUCGGUUGCUAUUUAAAAUCGAUCCACAAAUGGCUGGGAAAAAACCAGGACGACCUUGGAUUACCAAGUCAUUAAUAUAGACAAUAUGGAUAUCUAAUGAUGUAUAUUUCAAAGAUCUUUGCAACGACGUAUUUAAGAACAUAGUAAGUUGGAUCUACAAUGGCUCAAAUCGGAAAAAAUAUUUUUAACAAUUUUUUUUCGCUAAAUAUUAAAAAAAAAACAAGUAAGAGAGCUAUAUCUUGAAGGGUAUACCAAAUUAUACUUAAAAAUAUUUUAAGGUAAACAAAAUUUAAUUUUUAUUUUCGAAAUUUUUUUAUAAAAGUUUUUUUUUAAAAUUUUGUCUUUUCGAAAUUGUUUUUUAAUUUUUUUUAAAAAAAAGUUUUUUCCAAUUUUUUUUUAAAAAAAAUAUUUAUGACAAGAAACAAUUUUUGAAGAAAAUAAAUUCGGGUGAAAAAAUAUUUACCGAUUUUGACCCAUUGAAGUUCCAACUUACUAUAGCUUUAUAUAUAUCGUUGCAAUGGACUUUAAAAUAUCUAACAUUAGAUAUCCAUAUUGUCUAAAUAGGCCAAAAAUCGAGGAUUUUUCUUGAUAUCUCAGGCAUUUGUAGGCCGAUUUUGUCGAUAGCAACCGAGUCGGAAGAAUUCCCGACAUAUUGAUGUAUGAAUCAUGUAUGUAAGUUAUUUAGGGGCUACGGGAGGUUGAUUUCAACAUACAGACGGACAUGGCUUUAUCGACUUCGCUAUCUUCGCUAUUUAUACUUUGUGGGGUCCCAACUGAAAAAUGUAGAAAUUACAAACGGAAUGACAAACUUAUAUAUGGCAAAGGUUAUAAAAAUUAAAAAAAAAAAAAUUAAAUUUAAAAAAACGUUUUAAAAUUAAAAAAAAAAAAUUUAAAAUUUAAAAAAAACUAAAAAAUUAAAAAAAAAACUAUUUUAAAAAAAUUCGAAAAAAAUUAAACAAACAACUGGAAAAAAUAAAUUUUGUUUACCUAAAAAUAUUUCAAAUUUUUAUUUUGAAAUAUAAUUUGAUGAAGGGUAUAUAAGAUUCGGCACAGCCAAAUAUAGCUACUCUCUUUUUCAUUAUAAAUUAAUUUAUAGGCUUAAUUCCAUUGUACUUCAAAUAUAUUGAAUUCAUUCCUUUCAGAAUUCAUUCUUUAUAGAAAUAUUUGCUUAUUGAAUCAUUAAAAUUUUCUUGAAAUCAAAUCCAUUACAAAAUAGCUUUAAAAAAGUAUUGAAUGAUUCAAAAAUAAAAAGUUGGUCUUAAAUGAAACUGAAUUUAA